UACGUAGGUGGCAAGCGUUGUCCGGAAUUAUUGGGCGUAAAGCGCGCGCAGGUGGUUCCUUAAGUCUGAUGUGAAAGCCCACGGCUCAACCGUGGAGGGUCAUUGGAAACUGGGGGACUUGAGUGCAGAAGAGGAAAUUGGAAUUCCACGUGUAGCGGUGAAAUGUGUAGAGAUGUGGAGGAACACCAGUGGCGAAGGCGACUUUCUGGUCUGUAACUGACACUGAGGCGCGAAAGCGUUUGGAGCGAACAGG
This 253-nucleotide unclassified non-coding RNA is filed under the name uncultured Bacillaceae bacterium. RNAcentral's name for it is "contains 16S-23S intergenic spacer region". It matches the Rfam family "Bacterial small subunit ribosomal RNA", at positions 524 to 776 of the family's 1533-position model. The record is from RNAcentral. Lineage: Bacteria; Bacillati; Bacillota; Bacilli; Caryophanales; Bacillaceae.